Molecule: non-coding RNA, 3122 nt
Organism: Lolium perenne
Lineage: Eukaryota; Viridiplantae; Streptophyta; Magnoliopsida; Poales; Poaceae
Source: RefSeq, a predicted model, not a curated record
GUUGGCGUCGCCUUCCGUCUGGAGCCGCGCGAAAUGGUGAAAACCUAGAUCGCGAGUCCCCGAUUCACUCCCCAAUCCCCGUCCGUCCUCUCCUCCCCAAUCCUUGUCUCUCCUCCUCCCCAACCGUGGCGGCGCGCGUGGAGGAGCGGAAAGGGACGGCGGUAACCCGUGCGGCGCCAGCGGUGGCGGACUCACCCUUCCCCGCGCGCGAGGAGAAGAGAUCGGGGAGGCGCGGGACAAGCACGAGGGAGGCACCGUCUGGAGCUUCUAGAGGAGACCGGAUAGAGGCAUUGGAGCUCGCGUCGCUGGAGACGGGGAGGUGCGGUGGAGCGCGUGCCUCUACUCCGUCGCGGUCGCGGUCGCCAACUCCGAGCUCGCCCACGUCGCCCUCGUCCCGCCGCUCGUCACCUCCAUGUUCUGGACAUGUCUCUCCCUUGUCGGCGCAGAUGCGGGUGGAAUAUUGGCGGCGGCUCAGGCCAAGGCAAGGAGAACCAAGAUCUAGGUCGGUGCGCUCUUUUUGCCCUCUCCUUCCUCUCGUCUCCCUCCUCCGGCCGAGAUCUGGGGCGGCACACAUCAUGGCCGGAGCAGUUCCUCACGUCCUCAGUCGCCCCUCCUCGAUGAUUGUUGCUUCAGGAGCUGCACUGAUCGACCUCUUUCUCCUCCUACUACCUGCUCGACAGUUGAAGCACGAACAUCUGGUACAGGAUGUCCGCCCAGGUGUUCGAUGAAAUUCCAAAAAGGUUUCGGGAGGAUUGAUCUCUGUAAGCUAUCAUCAGUAAUCACAUGCAAGCGUGCAUGCCCAAAAAGGAGAGAGAGCUAGCCUGCUAUAGUGUUAGACAUCUUCUGGAUAUAUAUAGCUGUCUUAAUGUAUCCAUGGAUUUUUGAACGCCUAUAUUUUUCAGAAUGGUAACAAGGCCUUUUGAAGUUUUUAGUCUGGAUUGGCUGCAUGCAUUCUGAAGACUCAGGGAAACACGAAGGAGCACUGCCAAAUGGAUGAUUUUUCUUGGGACUCUUGUGCGGUUCAAACAGCUCUAAAAAUUGUACCUAUUUAGUAAGUCCUAAAGAGAAUAUUCUUUCGAGGUGUUUAUUCUUAUUGUCGUGUGAAAAUUGGAUCGUGUGGUGCAUAUUUCAAAGAAAUAGAGGUUCUGCUCGACAAGAUCUUGAUGCUCAAGCUGGAAAGUGGUUCAUAUUACAACCAGAUCAUACUGAAGUUCAGGAAGUGGCUGCAUGAGGUGUGUUGUGUUCUUGUUUUCCCUGGGAGCAGAACAUGACCGCGUGUGUCAUUGGGUGAUCCAAUCUGGUCAAGAUCUCUGUGCAGCUUGGUAAUUCAGGUACCGAAGCUUUGGGACAUUCACUGCGAUGAGAUGGCUUAUUAUGUGAGAACUCUCUACUCAUUUGCCUUUUAUUCUUGGUAUGCUCUGUUUGUUUUGGCCCACGCGGUGGUUGAAUGGAACAUUGAGGACUUUUGGAGGGUGGCCAGUAGGAUGAGCUAGAUCUUUUCUUCAGAGCAAAGGCAAGUUCUAUGGUUGAGAAAGAGAUUCAAUAUUUUUGUGUGGCCAUGGGCCAUGAAAAUGAAUCUUUUGAGGAUUUCGUGAAGUCGCAUGAUGCGUACCAAGAGUACCUUAUGUUUUCCCGAUGAAUAAUGGUCUUGCCAGUGUUGCUGGAAAUGUUGAUAAAUUAUCUUCUUUGCAAAAAAGAGUUUGAAAUUGUGAAGAUAAUGGAUGAUGAAGCAAAGAAAGCUUCUUUGAUACCAGGUUGGGCUACUGGAGUCACUAAAUCUUGCCAUGGUCGCUCCCAGGCCAUUGAAAAUAUUGGCGAUGAGCUGCUGCUGCUGAUUCGUACGUGAUGUACCUCCUAGGAUGAGAAUGAAUCUACAUAGACCUGCAAGAUAUAGUGUCACAUGUUCACAGAAAGGGUACACAAUGAUUUCAUUUCUAUGGAUCUAAUUGUGCCUGGCAUAUUGGCCUUCUCAAGAGUUCCAUUUCUGCAUUUCCUCGCUGCUCUAUAUAGCUAUUAGCCUAUUAUCGCAAUAAAGGGGAUCACAUGUAUGUGCAUAUUAAUGCUGGAUCAGCUAAGUUGCGCAAGGGUGUGCCUCCUAAAGAUGCAUGCUGCAGGUAGUGCCAUGUGAUCCUAUCAAAUCUUCAUGCCUAUUGAGGUGUGAGAGAUUAUUGAAUUAAUGAAGUUCAAUAUAUGGAGGCCGCUUUCCAUUGUAAUGCUGGAUCAGCUAAGUUACAAAGGGCAUGCUUCAGGAGGGCAAGAUGUAUGCUGCAGGUAGUUCCAUGUGAUUCUAUUAAAUCUUCAUGCCUAUUGAGGUGUCGGAGAUUAUUGAAUUAAUGAUGUCCAAUAUAUGGAGGGUGCUUUCCAUUGUACCUUACUAUGAAAUUUAAGAACAUAUCUACUACUUGGUUCAUUGUAAUCUGGUACUUGGUAUUGUUUCCGCUUUAAAAUUUCAUUAUUGUUUGAUCAAAAUAUUCAGUCCGGUGCUAUUACUCUGGAUAUUUCUUCUGACAUUCCUGUAAAUAAUGAAAUGUACUUUUAUUUGCAUGAAAUACUCCUUAUGAUCCAUAAUAGGUAUUCGGUACAAACAUGUGCCUUGCUGCAUUCAGAUCUAUUGCCUUCAGCGCCUAUGAGCAUGUUCCCUUGAGCCCCAGGUCUAAGGAUUGUUUAUGGUGGUACCUAUAUGCUAAAUAAGCCAGAGUGUCAGGUAGUUCUUAUCCCUUAUGUGAUAAUCAUGCAUGCCAGUGUGGUGUUACAUCAGACGCUAAAACUGUUAAAUGCAAGAAGGUUGUUUGUCAUCCCUCUUUACUUGCCCAACAGGUAAGGAAGAUUGGAAAGUUGCAUUUUCAACUGCCAUUAUGAAGCCUUGUGAUAAGACAAGGCAUCGCUCCUGUCCCGGUCUUUGCUCCUUUUUCGAUAGGGUUUGAAGCUUCCUCUAGCUAAAUCCAUUCAUACUGGUCUUUUUCUGUUACAUAUGACACUGUGAGUGAUCAAAUGUUGUGGUCUUUUUGUCUGCAUCCAAAUAUAGCAGCACAAUAUACAUGUAAGUAAUGUAAUUGGCCAUGUUGCCAAGAAAAUUGGAACUACCAUAUUUUUUGCUAUCUCGAAUCAUGUGAUCCUUCUUA